GAUGAACGCUGGCGGCGUGCCUAAUACAUGCAAGUCGAGCGAACAGACGAGGAGCUUGCUCCUCUGACGUUAGCGGCGGACGGGUGAGUAACACGUGGAUAACCUACCUAUAAGACUGGGAUAACUUCGGGAAACCGGAGCUAAUACCGGAUAAUAUAUUGAACCGCAUGGUUCAAUAGUGAAAGACGGUUUUGCUGUCACUUAUAGAUGGAUCCGCGCCGCAUUAGCUAGUUGGUAAGGUAACGGCUUACCAAGGCAACGAUGCGUAGCCGACCUGAGAGGGUGAUCGGCCACACGGGAACUGAGACACGGUCAAGACUCCUACGGGAGGCAGCAGUAGGGAAUCUUCCGCAAUGGGCGAAAGCCUGACGGAGCAACGCCGAGUGAGUGAUGAAGGUCUUCGGAGCGUAAAACUCUGUUAUUAGGGAAGAACAAAUGUGUAAGUAACUAUGCACGUCUUGACGGUACCUAAUCAGAAAGCCACGGCUAACUACGUG
RNAcentral lists this ribosomal RNA (497 nucleotides) under uncultured bacterium. RNAcentral's name for it is "partial 16S ribosomal RNA". It matches the Rfam family "Bacterial small subunit ribosomal RNA", at positions 28 to 507 of the family's 1533-position model. The record is from RNAcentral.